CCGGGGAUCGCCACGUAGAUAGGAAAAAUCGAAGAAGGUUAAUUCCGGGAGGCAGCAGCAGCAGGUAUCUUUUUAGUGCUGAAAUGGACACGCUAAUUGUGAACCACGUGGUCAGGAGCUCCUUCUAAAAUAUGCAGCAGCACAUUUACUGGAGUUUAACAAGCUGUGUGCUUUAAGGCCCAUGCUGCCUGCAAUCAUGUGAGCAAACCUUGCAAGUCCCAGUGCCAGCUCGAGAUGCAGCAGAGCCCAGAAGGGCAGCCCUGGAACAGCCCCCACCACUGGCAAGGCACAGGGACGAGACGCUGACCUGCGACGGGAGCAGAGGCCUCGCUACCAGCAUCGCUCACGGUUUCGCUUCUGGCAACGUACAUUUCCAUUUUUCUCAAAGCUUCCACGUCUGUGUCAUCAGACAAAGCCCCACGAGUGGUGGCAGACUGUAGCUUUCAUUUUCAAGUUUGAAGAGAAAAAAUUAUUUACAUGUCUAAGUCCCAGAACUGGCUGUCCAGAGGUCACUCUUUAUUGGCCACUCUUAUGAACCAUUAGGGCUUCCCAAAGCUCUAAAAGAAAUGGGACACAGUCUGGGGCAGAAAAAUCUCAUUGUUUAAAAUUUCCUUAAAUUCUAUUUCAUUGUAUUAUUAUUAUUUUAUUCAUAUUAUUUUUGUCCUACCAGAGGAAGAUGAAAGAUGGGAUGUUUCUAUCAUUGCUUGCAUGAAUGACUACUUAAAUUGACUGUCAGAGCUUGCAGGACAAAUCUUUGACCCUUCUUAAGUUUGUUUUAAACUGAAGGAAAUUAUCUUUUAUUGAUUAGAACUUUAGGCUAUUUUAAAAGGAAAAUUAUUGAUUCAUGCAUGAAUUUUAUUGUUUAAUCAGCCUUCUAUCUCAGUAUUUAUAUAUAUAGUUUUGGUUACAAAUUUAGGAAAACGUUUAACUAUGUGUUUUAAUGCUGGACUGCCUUUUUUUUCCCCUUUCCUGUUUAAGACAUGUUUUUCUGAAUCAAAUCCUUGAAUUUAGUGACAAUUAGUACAAUUUCCAGACACAUCAGCAAGAGUUUC
Long non-coding RNA from Melozone crissalis (California towhee), 1052 nucleotides. RefSeq lists it as uncharacterized. Lineage: Eukaryota; Metazoa; Chordata; Aves; Passeriformes; Passerellidae. The record is from RefSeq and is a predicted model, not a curated record. The transcript has 2 exons.